Molecule: small nucleolar RNA, 79 nt
Filed under: Atractosteus spatula (alligator gar)
Lineage: Eukaryota; Metazoa; Chordata; Actinopteri; Semionotiformes; Lepisosteidae
Also listed under: 1 other name
Description: Small nucleolar RNA SNORD71
Rfam family: Small nucleolar RNA SNORD71
About the family: snoRNA HBII-239 belongs to the family of C/D snoRNAs. It is the human orthologue of the mouse MBII-239 described and is predicted to guide 2'O-ribose methylation of 5.8S rRNA on residue U14.
Source: Rfam by way of RNAcentral
UUGCUGUUGAGUGAUGAAAGCUUUGAGUGAUCCAUCGACUGAGUAUAGAUGUUGACUCAUUAAGCACUGACAACAGCAU